GAGUUUGAUCAUGGCUCAGGACGAACGCUGGCGGCACGCCUAACACAUGCAAGUCGAACGGAGAUAUUUUGGUUUACUGAGAUAUCUUAGUGGCGGACGGGUGAGUAACACGUGAGCAACCUGCCUCUGAGAGAGGGAUAGCUUCUGGAAACGGAUGGUAAUACCUCAUAACAUAACGAAGCCGCAUGACUUUGUUAUCAAAGAUUUAUCACUCAGAGAUGGGCUCGCGUCUGAUUAGAUAGUUGGUGAGGUAACGGCUCACCAAGUCGACGAUCAGUAGCCGGACUGAGAGGUUGAACGGCCACAUUGGGACUGAGACACGGCCCAGACUCCUACGGGAGGCAGCAGUGGGGAAUAUUGCACAAUGGGGGAAACCCUGAUGCAGCGAUGCCGCGUGGAGGAAGAAGGUUUUCGGAUUGUAAACUCCUGUCUUAAAGGACGAUAAUGACGGUACUAGAGAGUACG
This 465-nucleotide ribosomal RNA is filed under the name uncultured Bacillota bacterium. RNAcentral's name for it is "bacterial SSU rRNA". It matches the Rfam family "Bacterial small subunit ribosomal RNA", at positions 9 to 471 of the family's 1533-position model. The record is from RNAcentral. Lineage: Bacteria; Bacillati; Bacillota.